Molecule: non-coding RNA, 914 nt
Organism: Camellia sinensis
Lineage: Eukaryota; Viridiplantae; Streptophyta; Magnoliopsida; Ericales; Theaceae
Source: RefSeq, a predicted model, not a curated record
UCUAUUUUGGUGUCGAUACUAGCCUUCCUGAGGGUCGAUACCACCUUGCUACCCUGUCCUUAGCCUUUCUUGGUUUUUAGGGUCGACACCAGGGGCUUUAAGGGUCGACCCUUCCCUUACUGUUUUGUUUUGGGUGCAUUCUGAAAUAAAGGGUCGACACCACUGGUUUCAAGGCUUGAUCCUUGUCCUCUGCACACAUUAGUGUCUCAGCUUUUCUUCCUGAAGGGUCGAUACCACUAUCUGAAGUAGGGUCAACCUUUGUGAGUAAAUUUUCAGAUUUUUGGUUCAGUUUUGAGAUAUACUUUUUGGGGGUUUAACUUAUUCUUUCCUUUGACUUUAGGGCUAUUAUUCUACUACUAUAAAUAGACCAUAAGCACACUUUUCUCAUUCACCUUUUCUUUUUCUCUCUCUUUUCCCCCUUUAACCCGUGAAUCCCUCUCUCUUUCUCUUAGAAACUCACCUUUCUUACAUAGAUCUCUAAAUCAACUUGGUUAGAGGCAUUUUUCCAUCUUAGUCCUUUGAGAAAGGUUGUAGAUCCAAUCAAGUACUUUCUUUUGAUCAAAGAGUUUCGCGAUUUCAUUGACUUUGGUUUUUCUUCGAGUUCUCCUCUUCGCUUCAAGAGGUAUACAUAUGUGGAUGCGGACUGUGAUGUGAAGUGAUGUUCGAACCGUGUAGGGUGGUUCAGUUAUUUGUAAGCCAAUGACCAUUUAUGUUAUUUAUUGGCCGCGUGCCAUUCUUGUAAAGGUUACAUCCUUGUGUAUGAUGUAAGGCUCAGGGCGUUUAAUUUGAUUUUAUAACAUCUGUACAUGUUUUAGUCACAGAACAUCUAUUAGACUUAGAUCUUGUAUCUAGGAAUGUAGAAUAUUGGAUAAACACAUAUAUUGUGUGGCUAUAUAAUAUUCAUUUGCAUGAGA